ACUUGGACCCCUGCCAUAUACAUAAGCAGCAAUCUCUCCAGAUUUUGUAUAUAGAUGUUCGGGCUUGGGUGCAAACGGCUAUUGGCAAAACUGGCCCGUUAUGAUUAGUUCACUCCGUGCCAUAUUAUUCUAAGUUAUCCAAGCUUGGAACGAGCUAGUGGCACCUGGAAAUUCUGAUCACCAGGGCUCCAAAAGAUGGGUUUUGGAACUAUUUCACAUCAUUCACAAACGUUCAUUGGCAGCCUUAACUUUCAAGAGGCCUAUGCUCAUCCUCGCAUUGCAUGCCACGAUGACGCUUUCCCAUACUAUUAGUAUGUUCUGAAGUUUUGACAAAAGCUGAUUAGGCGGAUAGCAACAAUAAAGGUAUUUUGUUCGAUGCCGAUAUGAGUUCCCAGGCCUAAACAGCCGACGGCAAUGGCACACAUAAAUACCUAGAUACGCCAACUAACACAUUGAAUCAAAACUCAAAAUUCAGAAGGAGGGGUUCUUUGCGUUCCAUUUGUUCAGGCCCAUUGAACUACUGCCUGUUCCUCACGAACCUACAAUAUGGCACGAAUGAUAGAGUUGAAGAGGGUGGGAUCAUCAACCGGAUCACGUCCUAGGCAAUUCAAAUUCCUUUCUUCUUGUGCAUUGAUUGUGGCAAAGAUAAGGCGGGAAUGGCUCAGUGGUUCCACCGAAUCAAAGGAGGCGAAAAGUUAAGGGAAAGAGAAUAGCCAAAUCUCCUUUUCCCCAAACCGCAUUUUUCGCCAUUGUUGGUGUUGAAUCUGCUUGGCAAACUGG
This 780-nucleotide small RNA is filed under the name Histoplasma ohiense. RNAcentral describes it as "hypothetical lncRNA". Lineage: Eukaryota; Fungi; Ascomycota; Eurotiomycetes; Onygenales; Ajellomycetaceae. The record is from RNAcentral.